UUUUAGAAUUAAAAUCUUGUGGCCAAGAAAGGCAAGCAGACCUUGAGGAUCUGCAUCCCCACUGAGGUGGAAGUGGAUUCAUUGUCCUGGAGGAAGUUGGCUGGCAUGGUGCAAGGAAUCUUAGUCUGUCCAUGGAGAAAUCCGGACACCCUUCAGUCUUUGAACCUCCUGACUGAGCCUUCCUUGAACAUCUGCUGCUUCCCCAGAUCCUCCAAGUUGGACGGCUGCCAAGAAUGCCUGCCCUCUUGGCCUCCUCAGGCUGAGCUUACCAUUAUUCUGUGUUGGAAUUUUAGAAAGAUAGUGUGAUGCUAUUAUUAUUCAAUGAAUAACAUCUCAAUUGGUUUAAUGAGAAUGACAUUUCUAGGCCUGUUCAUAACAAUCUAUUCAAAUAUUUUGAUUUAUUAACUAAAAGCAAUUCAAGUGCCUUCAACUAACUUCCUAAAUUACAAGUUAUCUUCAGGAAAUGUAUUGGGGGAAAUCUCUGUGACAGGUAAGGCGCUGUA
Molecule: non-coding RNA, 503 nt
Organism: Urocitellus parryii (Arctic ground squirrel)
Lineage: Eukaryota; Metazoa; Chordata; Mammalia; Rodentia; Sciuridae
Source: RefSeq, a predicted model, not a curated record